GACGACGCUGGCGGCGUGCUUAACACAUGCAAGUCGAACGGUGAUCUUGAGAGCUUGCUCUUGGGUGAUCAGUGGCGAACGGGUGAGUAACACGUGAGUAACCUGCCCCUGACUCUGGAAUAACUUCGGGAAACCGAAGCUAAUACCGGAUAUGACACAGAGCCGCAUGGUUUCUGUGUGGAAAGUUUUUCGGUUGGGGAUGGACUCGCGGCCUAUCAGCUUGUUGGUGAGGUAAUGGCUCACCAAGGCGACGACGGGUAGCCGGCCUGAGAGGGCGACCGGCCACACUGGGACUGAGACACGGCCCAGACUCCUACGGGAGGCAGCAGUGGGGAAUAUUGCACAAUGGGCGAAAGCCUGAUGCAGCGACGCCGCGUGAGGGAUGAAGGCCUUCGGGUUGUAAACCUCUUUCAGUAGGGAAGAAGCGCAAGUGACGGUACCUACAGAAGAAGCACCGGCUAACUACGUG
RNAcentral lists this ribosomal RNA (469 nucleotides) under uncultured bacterium. RNAcentral's name for it is "bacterial SSU rRNA". It matches the Rfam family "Bacterial small subunit ribosomal RNA", at positions 33 to 507 of the family's 1533-position model. The record is from RNAcentral.